GAUGAACGCUGGCGGCGUGCUUAACACAUGCAAGUCGAACGGAAAGGCCCCUGCUUGCAGGGGUACUCGAGUGGCGAACGGGUGAGUAACACGUGGGUGAUCUGCCAUGCACUUCGGGAUAAGCCUGGGAAACUGGGUCUAAUACCGGAUAGGACGAUGGUUUGGAUGCCAUUGUGGAAAGUUUUUUCGGUGUGGGAUGAGCUCGCGGCCUCUCAGCUUGUUGGUGGGGUCAUGGCCUACCAAGGCGUCGACGGGUAGCCGGCCUGGGAGGGUGGACGGCCACGUUGGGCCUGAGCUACGGCCCAGCCUCCUACGGGAGGCAGCAGUGGGGAAUAGUGCACAAUGGGCGCAAGCCUGAUGCAGCGACGCCGCGUGGGGGAUGACGGCCUUCGGGUUGUAAACUCCUUUCGCUAGGGACGAAGCGAAAGUGACGGUACCUGGAGAAGAAGCACCGGCUAACUACGUG
This 466-nucleotide ribosomal RNA is filed under the name uncultured bacterium. Its description in RNAcentral is "partial 16S ribosomal RNA". It matches the Rfam family "Bacterial small subunit ribosomal RNA", at positions 28 to 507 of the family's 1533-position model. The record is from RNAcentral.